RNAcentral lists this long non-coding RNA (467 nucleotides) under Homo sapiens (human). RNAcentral describes it as "non-protein coding lnc-MXRA7-1:2". Lineage: Eukaryota; Metazoa; Chordata; Mammalia; Primates; Hominidae. The record is from RNAcentral.
CAUUGUACAGUAUCCAUUCUGAACGGACACACCUGGCAUUCCCAGGUGUUUCUGAGAGACACAGGCCUCGACUCUGAGUGAGUCUUUGUGAGUGGGUAUGGCUGUCAGUGCACUGAGAACAACACUUCUUGCCUCUCAGGAUUUUGAAGCAAGAGCACCCCGAGUUGGCAGUCCUCGCAGACUCGGUUGACCUUCAGGAGUCCACAGGGAUAGCUUCCGACAGCUCCAGCGACUCUUCCAGCUCCUCCAGCUCCAGUUCGUCAGACUCCGACUCAGAGUGCGAGUCUGGAUCCGAGGGCGAUGGGACAGUGCACCGCAGGAAGAAGAGGAGGACGUGCAGCAUGGUGGGAAACGGGGACACCACCUCCCAGGACGACUGUGUCAGCAAAGAGCGCAGCUCCUCCAGGUGACCCAGCAAGGCUGUUGUCUGUAUGGAAGGACACGCUCGCGGCAAGGGCAGGGCCUGG